Molecule: small nucleolar RNA, 126 nt
Organism: Callithrix jacchus (white-tufted-ear marmoset)
Lineage: Eukaryota; Metazoa; Chordata; Mammalia; Primates; Cebidae
Source: Ensembl
CCUCUCUCAGCUCUGUGUAGUUGCACUUGGCUUCACCCGUGUAACUUUCGUAAAGGGGAAGGAAAGAAAAGAUUCAGGACCUCAGAUGGGCCUUACUGUGGCCUCUCCUUGAGGGGAGCAAUAAGC